Molecule: long non-coding RNA, 6569 nt
Organism: Pan troglodytes (chimpanzee)
Lineage: Eukaryota; Metazoa; Chordata; Mammalia; Primates; Hominidae
Exons: 3
Source: RefSeq, a predicted model, not a curated record
CUUAUUUCAAAGGCGAGACUAAAAUAAAGAGGGCUGAUCAGACUGGGGGCAAGCAGAGAUUGGGCCAUCGCUAGAGUUACAAAAGCAGCGCUGGCUACUGUAGGGCAGCAGCGUCAUCUCCUCGAGAUAGGACUCCCUCUGCCCCAGUUCUGUUCACCGUCCAAAGACCAGGGCCCUCCCUGAAGCCCAGCACUUGAGAAAUGCUCGCUGUCACAUAUUAUGACUCUGGCUUUGGAAAGAAAUUCAGCAAGGGUACUGGUUAAAAGGUCAAAAAGUGGUGAAAUGCCAUCUGCCCAAACGGAAGCAAGGGGUCGCUUGGAUUGGGUAAAGGUUUCCUUUGUGGUUUUAAGUCGUUGGGUUGUUUUUCGUUCGUUUUUGUUUUGUUAGAAAGCACUGUGUCUGUCUGGAGGUCGAAGGGUCGGGUGGGUGUCUGCAGUGCGGCUUUUCUCCCUUGGCCAGCGCGGAAACAAAGUGGGUUUACUGGCCAUUUCCGCUUUGUGUGAAGGAAACCUGAGAUUCACUGCCUCCAGCACAUAGGAGUUGUCUGUUGUUUUUAGUUUAGUUCUGUUGUUGUUAUUAGGUGUUUUUAAAACAUAUGUAAGUGUGUAUCAAAGUUGUAUUUCACAGUGUUGGCAGAAAAUUUACAGGAAAAAGACAGAGGAGGGUUUAGUUGAAGAUCAGGAGGAGGUAGAAAGACUGGUUAAAUGUCUAGUGAAAGGUUUUAGGCAUACCAGGAUUGUCAGUCAACUGGGUGGGUAACUCUUUUAUUUUUAAAAUUGUGGUAAAAUAUGUAUAAAAUAACAUAUACUAUUUUAACGAUUUUUAAGUAGGCCUGGGCACAGUGGCUGACACCUGUAAUCCCAAGCUUUGGGAGGCUGAGAUGGGAGGAUCAUUGGAGGCCAGGAGUUUGAAACCAGCUUGGUCAACAUAGCAACUUCAUCUCUAAAAAAAAGAUAAAUAAAAAUAAAAAGUUUUUUUUUUAAAUUAUCUGGGCAUGGUGGCACACUGGGCAAGUAGUUCCAGCUCCUUGGGAGGCCGAGGCAGGAAGAUCACUUGAGCCUAGGAGUUCAAUGCUAUAGUGAGCUCUGAUCACACCGCUGCCCUCCAGCCUGUGUGAUAGAGCAAGAACCUGUCUCUAAAAUAAAUCACAAUUUAAAAAUGCUCAAGUGAAAGGUUCUGCGACAUUAAGUGCACUCACAUUUUUGUGCCACCAUCGCCACCAUGCAUCUACAGAAAUUUUCUUUCUUUCCCAACUGAAACUCUGUCCCCAUUAAACACUAACUCCCCAUCCUGCCCUGCCAGCCACGGGUGGCCACCGUUCUACUGUUUCUGAAUUUGACUAUUCAUAGUACCUCAUAUAAGUGGAAUCGUAGAGUAGUCGUCCUUUGUGACUAGCUCAUUUCCCUUAGCGCAACGCCUUCAAAGUUUAUUCACGUGGGUAGUUAGUUCUUUACGGUUUGUUUUUCAUCGUUUGGACCCUCAGUUUUUGUUUCUUGUUGAGGACUUGGUAGUCUCAGAUAUUGAGGAUAGGAUUGCAGGCUGAAAGUCUGGCCAGGAGGCUUCCUGAUCCUUCUCCUCGCCCUAAAAUAUCUUGGCCACACUGGAUAUAUAUUUUUUUCUUUUUGAGAUGGAAUCUCCCUCUGUUGCCCAGGCUGGAGUGCAGUGGCGCAAUCAUGGCUCACUGCGGCCUCAACCUCCCAGGCUCAAGUGAUCUUCCUGCCUCACCCUCCCAAGCAGCUGGGACUACAGGCAUGCACCACCAUAUCUGGCUAAUUUUUUUUUACUUCUUGGGAGAGAUGGGGGUCUCACUUUGUUGCCCAGCCUGGUCGUGAGCUCCUGGCCUCGAGCGAUCCUCCCUCCUCAACCUCCCAAAGUGCUGGGAGUACAGGCAUGAGCCACCACGCCUGGCCCACACUGGACAUUUCUUAGUGUUUUUUCCUGCCUGGGUCACUACCUACUUGGUGUGUUAAUAGCUCUCAAGGCUCUUAGCUUGGCCCACAUUGCUUGCUCCUCUGGGCAAACCAUGAAUAUUUCCAAAGCAGACCAGCCUCUCAGGGGACUCUGUCUGUCUGUCUCUCUCUGCCUCUCUCUGUCUCUGUCUGUCUGUCUCUGUCUCUCUCUCUCCCUGUUUCCAUCUCUGUGUGUCUCUGUCUGUGUGUGUGUGUGUGUCUCCAUCUCUGUCUCUGUCUCUCUCUGUCUUUCUCUCCUCCCUCCUCUCAGCAUCAGUAUUUACCCACUGGCCUCAGGCAAAGGCUUCAGAGAAGGGAAAGAAGCCUUUUCUUUCCCCUUCCCGUCCUCUCAGGCACAGGAGGCAUGCCAUCUGUUUGCUUGUUUUUAUAAUCAUUCUUUGUAAGCAGAACAUUCAAAUGGCAAAAUAUAUAAGCAGUAAGAACGUGCAAUGAAAAACCAGUCUCCCCACCCACUUCCUUGUUGCCUUUUGCCACACCAGCCACUGUGACCUUGACUGUCUUUCUAGGGACAUUUACACAUAAACAAGCUCAGGGGGCCUCUUUUUACACAAAAGAUAUCAUCUUAUACCCACCCCCCUGUAUCAUGCUUUUUGGAAAAAAUACAUAAAAAUAAGAGUGUAAUAAAUGAAGUCUCCACCAACCAGAGUUGAUAAAAAACAUUUAGUAUAGCUGUUUUUUUUUCUUUUUUUACAUAAAAAUAAGUAAAAUGCUAAAGAUGAAGUCUGAAAUAUUCUGUGGCCUUUGUGGCCAGUCCUGCGUCCUUCCUCCCAUCCUUAGAGGGGAGCACUAUUGGAAAUUAUUUACACCCUUUCUGUAAUUUUUUAUAUGUCAUAUACAUACAUAUAUACAUCUGUGAACAAUAUAUAGCAUCAUUUUGCACAAUAAUCAUUUUUAAUAUCCCUUCCCCCUACUGGCAGGCAUUCAGGUUCUUUUAGACUUUGCUCCUCAAAUAAUGCCGCAGGAAAUUUCUUGUGCCGAUAUCUUUGUGCACAUGCGUGAGUGUGUCUGUAGGAUAAUUUUGUAGAGGCGGGCUCACUGGAUCAAAAGAUAUGUGCGUUUGAUAGUUUCAAAGGGCACCAAUUUUUACUUCCACCAAUAAUGCAUGGAACACCUAUUUCUUCACAUCUUCUUUCACAUACAAAUUUAUCAAAAUUUUUAAUUUUUAUUCAUCUAAUACAUAAAAAAUACCUCUCAUACUUUGAAUUUAUGUAUUGGAAACCAUGUAUUGGUAAUGUAUUAGAAAUAUAAUAGAUUAUUUCUUUUAUUAUAAGUGAGGGUGAGCACCUUCUCAUGUGUUUGAAAGCCAGGCAGGCCGGGGGUGGUGGCUCAAGCCUGUAAUCCCAGCACUUUGGGAGGCCGAGGUGGGUGGAUCAUCUGAGGUCGGAGUUCAAGACCAGCCUGACCAACAUGGAGAAACCCCGUCUCUACUAAAAAUACAAGAUUAGCCAGGCGUCGUGGCACAUGUCUGUAAUCCAAGCUACUUGGGAGGCUGAGGCAGGAGAAUCGCUUGAACCUGGGAGGCGGAGGUUGCGGUGAGCUGAGAUCAUGCCAUUGCACUCCAGCCUGGGCAACAAGAGCAAAAACUCUGUCUCGAAAAAAAAAAAAGAAAGCCAGAUAUAUUUCUUCUUCUGUGGUUUUUUAAGGUAUUUUGCCCAUUUUUCUUUGGGGCUGAUUAUCUUAUUCACUCUUAAGUGUACUUUGCAUGUGAAGAAAAUUAACUGUCAUAUGUGUUGCAAAUAUUUUCCCAGUUAAUUGCUUAUAUUUUGACUCAGCUAUUUUUGCCACAUGGAAAUUUUUAAUUUUUAUGAAGUCAAUUUUAUCAAUACUAAUGUUUUUAAGUGGUGAUAGAUUUACUGUUUUCUUCUCAUUUUCUUCAUUUCUCCCCUACUUCCCAUUUCUAACUCAAAUCAUACCUCAGAUUCCUGGGUCUAGGGUGAGAUCAACAGCUGGAAGCCACCACAGAGUUAAUCCAGGUGAACCCUGGAGGUUCGACAUAACCCCGAAGGCUCCAGGGGCCCUUGACUUAACUUUGCCCUACUGUAUAUUUAUAGGGUAUCCUAAAUCUGCCCUAACCACUGACACUUCCUGGAGUUCUUUCAGUCUGAAGAAACUUCUGGUUCCAAUUUGGUCUCCUUAAAGACCUCUGCCCCAGGCAGGUCUGCAUCCCUGGAGGCACCAUGGCAGGGCUGGCACAGGGAAGCUGGGACCUUAGUGACCUACUGCUGCUUUUUCAUUCUUUUCACUCCCUGUGGAGCCGGGUUUCUUACUGGCAGAGAAGGGAAAGGGAGAAAACAAGAAUGCACUCAUGCUGUCGGCCUGGACUUGGAGAUUAUCAGUGUGGACUCAAGCUUUCCAAUACAUAAAGAUGGAGAGAGAGAUACAGGUGUAAAAGUGUGUGUAAUAUUUUGAAUCUACUUUUGUGUGUUCUUAAUUUUUAUUAUUUCCUUCAUUUAUUUUUGAAACAGGGUCUUGCUCCGUUACCCAGACUGGAGUACGGUGGUGAGAUCAUAGCUCACUGCAGGCUUGACCUCCCGGGCUCAAGUGAUCCUCCCACCUCAGCCUCCCGAGUAGCUGAGACCACAGGUGCGCACCACCACGCCCAGCUAAUUUUUCUAUGUUUUUUAGAGACAGGUUUACACCAUGUUGCCCAGGCUGGUCUCAAAUUCCUGGGCUCAAGCGAUCCUCCUGCCUCAGCCUCCCAAAGUGCUAGGAUUACAGGCAAGAGCCACUGCGCCCGGCCUUGUGUGUCUUUAAAUGUUUUUUGUUGUUGCUGUUUGUUUGUUUUUUGAGACAGAGUCUCCCUCUGUCACCCAGGCUGGAGUGCAAUGGCAUGGUCUCGACUCACUGCAAACUCCGCCUCCCGGGUCAAGCGAUUCGCCUGCCUCAGCCUCCCAAGUAGCUGGGAUUACAGGCACCCACCACCACGCCUGGAUAAUUUUUGUAUUUUUAGUAGAGAUGGGGUUUCACCAUGUUGACCAGGCUGGUCUCGAACUGCUGACCUCGUGACCCACCUGCCUUGGCCUCCGGAAGUGCUGGGAUUACAGGCAUGAGCCACUGUGCCCAGCCUUUAAAUGUUUUACAUGUACAUCCUUGCCAUCGUUUUCAUUUAAUUACUCUCCUCUAGUUUGUAAGGGCAGGGCCAUAGUGGGCCAGUCCCAGCAUUCUUUCCCCUUCUCUCUACCCGAACACAAAUGUCUGCACAGAACACCAUCAUUCAGCCAUUGGGGAUUAAAAAUUAAGAUCGAGGAAAAAGCAAAAUAAAACAAGAUCAUUAUUUGUCAUUGAGGACUGGGUGGGCAUUCCCUCAUUCUUCUUGCCUUCCAUGGUCCAUCUCAGCAGCUUGACAUUCUGCACCUUCUAUUAGCUCGUGGCCUGGCUGCAUCCUCCCUACAGACAUUUUACCCCUAAGCAGCCUCCUUCCUUCCUUCCUCCCUUCCUUUCCCCCUUCCUUCCCUCCUGUUUUCCUCCUUCCUUCCUUCCCUCCUUCCUUUCUUUCCUUCUCUCUCCCUUUCUUCAUCCCUUCCCUCCUUUCCCUCCUUCCCUCCUUUCCCUCCUUCCCUCCGUCCUUCCUUUCUUCCUUCCUUCCCUUCCUCCUUUCUUCCUUUUUUAUCUUUCUCCUUUCCUUUCCUCCUCCUUUAAUUCCCUCCUUCCUUCCUUCAUCAAAUGUUUGCUGCACUGCUAACAGAGUCCAUGCUGUGCUUGGUGCGGACAAUUCUGUAGCGAACAGUGCGACAGAUAACUGGUGCUGCCUUCAGCAAGCCUACAAUCUAGCAGGCAGCCUGCAGUGAAUCGGCCACUACAUAACUCAGCACCCUCUUCCAGAGGCCAUCUCUGUCUCUCCAGUGGCCCCAACUGUAGCCGCUCUCGAGCCUCCACCAUCAAACUGUGUCCUUAAGAAAAUCAUUGUUUUCUCCCCACCAGAGGAGAGAGCCGCUAAGUGCUCUGACCCCCUUGCUUCCAGCACGUUCAUACGAAUUGGGAUUUGGUGGCCUCACACGCAUAGGCUCACGAUCCUCACAGGGGACAGGGAAGACGCCACGAUCUGCAUUUUACCGACAGGAGGCGCAGGAACUUGCCGGAGAUCGCAGAGCAGGUACUGGCCUUCUCAGGAAACACCAAGACCAACAUAGAGAAGGAUGGUGGAUUUCCGGGUAUACAAAAGACCAAACAAAUCCAGAUCAUCAAGGAAUUAUGCAUUUGUGAUGGAGUGGAGUCCUGGCACAGAGAUCAAGAGGCCGGAAGAGCAGAUUGGAAAAGGGAGUUCAGAAGCUUAGUCCGUGGUCCUGUCCGCUCAAGAUCAGACAUGCUUGGAGCUCUGCUGAAUUUUAAUCUUCACUCUUAUUCAAAACCAUUGACUCCUAACGCCUGGGAAAGCCAGUGGAGAGAGGGCUUCCCUCUGAGUAAAUUCGAGGGAAGCAUGUGGUAGAGAACACCCAUGGCUGUCUUGUAAAAUGAAGCCCCCAGGCACCAGCUCUAAAUUCCCUACCAAAGGUGACUUACUCAUCUAGUUCCAUCGUCCAAGGCCCCAGUUUUCUCUUUGCUUCAAUAUGUACAUCAAUAUACUAUCUUCAACUUUUGCAGCAUUUUCUAUGCUGUUUA